UACGUAGGGUGCGAGCGUUGUCCGGAAUUAUUGGGCGUAAAGAGCUUGUAGGUGGCUCGUCGCGUCGGGAGUGAAACCCGCGGCUUAACCGCGGGCCUGCUUUCGAUACGGGCGGGCUAGAGUUCGGCAGGGGAGACUUGGAAUUCCUGGUGUAGCGGUGGAAUGCGCAGAUAUCAGGAGGAACACCGGUGGCGAAGGCGGGUCUCUGGGCCGAUACUGACACUGAGAAGCGAAAGCGUGGGGAGCGAACAGG
Molecule: ribosomal RNA, 253 nt
Filed under: uncultured bacterium
Lineage: Bacteria
Description: partial 16S ribosomal RNA
Rfam family: Bacterial small subunit ribosomal RNA
Source: RNAcentral